RNA transcript from Nerophis ophidion (straightnose pipefish), 3929 nucleotides. It is a transcript of the gene named phosphoglucomutase 2, with no coding region annotated. The transcript has 2 exons. The record is from RefSeq and is a predicted model, not a curated record. NCBI's taxonomy places the organism in Eukaryota, Metazoa, Chordata, Actinopteri, Syngnathiformes, Syngnathidae.
AACCCUACUUUAGUCUUUAGAAUGGUCGUUACCAAGGACAACACGAAUAGCAAACUUGCUGCUGUAGUUGUUUUGGAAUCGUGAAGCGCUCUAUUUAUGUGGAAAUGGCUUCUCUCCAAAUUCCACAUUUGCAGCUUUGAGUCACUUUCGCCUCACUUUCCUGGCUUCCGUCUGCUCCAACGUCUCAAUCUUCCUUUGUGCUCGCCUCUAGAAGCAGCAGUUCAUCCUCCGUAUAUUCAGCUUCAAAAAGAUAAGGUUGUGAAUCCUCAUUUGGCCAAAUUUAGUCAUCCUUGUUGUUAGUUAUCAUGAUUAGAACACAAAUGUUUUGUAUCCGGAUGUUGGAACACAUUUGUUGCCUGAAGUCAGACGUGCAUUGCUAUGAAAAUGCAAAUCAAUGCUUGAAAGAAGUCAGUUAUGGCAAUGAUUAAAAUGAUCAGAAUAAGGUGAAUCUCCUCUCUGAGCUGCCACCUUAUCGUGGUAGAGGAGUUUGCGUGUCCCAAUGAUCCUAGGAGCUAUGUUGUCCGGGGGAUUUAUGCCCCCUGGUAGGGUCUCCCAAGGCAAACAGGUUCUAGGUGAGUGAUCAGACAAAGAGCAGCUCGAGGACCUCUAUGAAGAAGAUAAAACAUGGACCCAGAUUUCCCUCGCCCGGACGCGGGUCACCGGGGCCCCCCUCUGGAGCCAGGCCCGGAGGUGGGGCAUGAUGGCGAGCGCCUGGUGGCCGGGCCUGUUCCCAUGGGGCACGGCCGGGCACAGCCCGAAGAGGCAACGUGGGUCACCCCUCCAAUGGGCUCACCACCCUUAGCAGGGGCCAUAGAGGUCGGGUGCAAUGUGAGCUGGGCGGCAGCCGAAGGCAGGGCACUUGGCGGUCCGAUCCUCGGCUACAGAAGCUAGCUCUUGGGACGUGGAGCUUCACCUCACAGGGGGGGAAAGAGCCUGAGCUAGUGCGCGAAGUGGAGAAGUUCUGGCUGGAUAUAGUCGGACUCACUUCGACGCACAGCAAGGGCUCUGGAACCACUUCUUUCGAGAUGGGCUGGACCCUCUUCCACUCUGGCGUUGCCGACAGUGAGAGGCGACGGGCUGGGGUGACAAUUCCGGUUGCCCCCCGGCUUAAAGCCUGCACGUUGGAGUUCAACCCAGUGGACGAAAGGGUAGCCUCCCUCCGCCUUCGGGUGGGGGGACGGGUCUUGACUGUUGUUUGUGCUUACGCACCAAACAGCAGUUCAGAGUACCCACCCUUUUUGGGUACACUCGAGGGAGUAUUGGAAAGUGCUCCCCCGGGUGAUUCCCUUGUCCUACUGGGGGACUUCAACGCUCAUGUUGGCAAUGACAGUGAAACCUGGAGAGGCGUGAUUGGGAAGAAUGGCCGCCCGGAUCUGAACCCAAGUGGUGUUUUGUUAUUGGACUUUUGUGCUCGUCACAAUUUGUCCAUUACAAACACCAUGUUCAAACAUACGGGUGUCCAUAUGUGCACUUGGCAACAGGACACCCUAGGCCGCAGUUCCAUGAUCGACUUUGUAGUUGUGUCAUCUGAUUUGCGGCCUUAUGUUUUGGACACUCGGGUGAAGAGAGGGGCAGAGCUUUCUACCGAUCACCACCUGGUGGUGAGUUGGCUGCGAUGGUGGGGGAGGAUGCCGGACCGGCCUGGCAGGCCCAAACGCAUUGUGAGGGUCUGCUGGGAACGUCUGGCAGAGUCUCCUGUCAGAGAAAGUUUCAAUUCCCACCUCCGGAAGAACUUCGAACAUGUCACGAGGGAGGCGCUGGACAUUGAGUCCGAGUGGACCAUGUUCCGCACCUCUAUUGUCGAGGCGGCUGAUAGGAGCUGUGGCCGCAAGGUAGCUGGUGCCUGUCGGGGCGGCAAUCCUAAAAACCCUUGGUGGACACCAGCGGUGAGGGAUGCCGUCAAGCUGAAGAAGGAGUCUUAUCGGGUCCUUUUGGCUCAUAGGACUCCGGAGGCAGUGGACAGGUACCGACAGGCCAAGCGGUGUGCGGCUUCAGCGGUCGCUGAGGCAAAAACUCGGACAUGGGAGGAGUUCGGGGAAGCCAUGGAAAACGACUUCCGGACGGCUUCGACGCGAUUCUGGACCACCGUCCGCCACCUCAGGAAAGGGAAGCAGUGCACUAUCAACACCCUGUAUGGUGCGGAUGGUGUUCUGCUGACCUCAACUGCGGAUGUUGUGGAUAGGUGGAAGGAAUACUUCGAAGACCUCCUCAAUCCCACCAACACGUCUUCCUAUGAGGAAGCAGUGCCUGGGGAAUCUGUGGUGGACUCUCCUAUUUCUGGGGCUGAGGUCGCUGAGGUAGUUAAAAAGCUCCUCGGUGGCAAGGCCCCGGGGGUGGACGAGAUCCGCCCGGAGUUCCUUAAGGCUCUGGAUGCUGUGGGGCUGUCUUGGUUGACAAGACUCUGCAGCAUCGUGUGGACAUCGGGGGCGGUACCUCUGGAUUGGCAGACCGGGGUGGUGGUUCCUCUCUUUAAGAAGGGGGACCGGAGGGUGUGUUCCAACUAUCGUGGGAUCACACUCCUCAGCCUUCCCGGUAAGGUUUAUUCAGGUGUACUGGAGAGGAGGCUACGCUGGAUAGUCGAACCUCGGAUUGAGGAGGAACAGUGUGGUUUUCGUCCUGGUCGUGGAACUGUGGACCAGCUCUAUACUCUCGGCAGGGUUCUUGAGGGUGCAUGGGAGUUUGCCCAACCAGUCUACAUGUGCUUUGUGGACUUGGAGAAGGCAUUCGACCGUGUCCCUCGGGAAGUCCUGUGGGGAGUGCUCAGAGAGUAUGGGGUAUCGGACUGUCUUAUUGUGGCGGUCCGCUCCCUGUACGAUCAGUGCCAGAGCUUGGUCCGCAUUGCCGGCAGUAAGUCGAACACAUUUCCAGUGAGGGUUGGACUCCGCCAAGGCUGUCCUUUGUCACCGAUUCUGUUCAUAACUUUUAUGGACAGAAUUUCUAGGCGCAGUCAAGGCGUUGAGGGCUUCCGGUUUGGUGACCGCAGUAUAAGGUCGCUGCUUUUUGCAGAUGAUGUGGUACUGAUGGCUUCAUCUCACCGGGAUCUUCAGCUCUCACUGAAUCGGUUCGCAGCCGAGUGUGAAACGACCGGAAUGAGAAUCAGCACCUCCAAGUACGAGUCCAUGGUUCUCGCCCGGAAAAGGGUGGAAUGCCAUCUCCAGGUUGGGGAAGAGACCCUGCCCCAAGUGGAGGAGUUCAAGUACCUAGGAGUCUUGUUCACGAGUGGGGGAAGAGUGGAUCGUGAGAUCGACAGGCGGAUCGGUGCGGCGUCUUCAGUAAUGCGGACGUUGUACCGAUCCGUUGUGGUGAAGAAGGAGCUGAGCCGGAAGGCAAAGCUCUCAAUUUACCGGUCGAUCUACGUUCCCAUCCUCACCUAUGGUCAUGAGCUUUUGGGUCAUGACCGAAAUGAGUUUCCUCCGCCGUGUGGCGGGGCUCUCCCUUAGAGAUAGGGUGGGAAGCUCUGCCAUCCGGGAGGAACUCAAAGUAAAGCUGCUGCUCCUCCACAUCGAGAGGAGCCAGAUGAGGUGGUUCGGGCAUCUGGUCAGGAUGCCACCCGAACGCCUCCCUAGGGAGGUGUUUAGGGCACGUCCAACCGGUAGGAGGCCACGGGGAAGACCCAGGACACGUCGGGAAGAUUAUGUCUCCCGGCUGGCCUGGGAACGCCUCGGGAUCCCCCGGGAAGAGCUAGACGAAGUGGCUGGGGAGAGGGAAGUCUGGGUUUCCCUGCUUAGGUUGUUGCCCCCGCGACCCAACCUCGGAUAAGCGGAAGAAGAUGGAUGGAUGGAUGGAUGGAAAAUAAGAUUCUUCCCACCUCCCGUUCCAGUCAGAUGAUCACCUUCACCUUCUCCAACGGGGGCGUGGCCACCAUGAGGACCAGCGGCACCGAGCCCAAAAUCAAGUACUACACGGAGCUGUGUGCCGCCCCCGGUAAC